GGCCCCAUAGCUCAUAUGGUAAGAGCGUUGGCUGUACCCAAGCCAUGCACUUGCUGUCGUGGGUUCGAAUCCCACUGACGCCG
Molecule: transfer RNA, 83 nt
Filed under: Schistocephalus solidus
Lineage: Eukaryota; Metazoa; Platyhelminthes; Cestoda; Diphyllobothriidea; Diphyllobothriidae
Rfam family: tRNA
About the family: Transfer RNA (tRNA) molecules are approximately 80 nucleotides in length.
Source: Rfam by way of RNAcentral